RNAcentral lists this transfer RNA (85 nucleotides) under Felis catus (domestic cat). It matches the Rfam family "tRNA". From Rfam's summary of the family: Transfer RNA (tRNA) molecules are approximately 80 nucleotides in length. Their secondary structure includes four short double-helical elements and three loops (D, anti-codon, and T loops). Further hydrogen bonds mediate the characteristic L-shaped molecular structure. tRNAs have two regions of fundamental functional importance: the anti-codon, which is responsible for specific mRNA codon recognition, and the 3' end, to which the tRNAs corresponding amino acid is attached (by aminoacyl-tRNA synthetases). tRNAs cope with the degeneracy of the genetic code in two manners: having more than one tRNA (with a specific anti-codon) for a particular amino acid; and 'wobble' base-pairing, i.e. permitting non-standard base-pairing at the 3rd anti-codon position. The record is from Rfam by way of RNAcentral. Lineage: Eukaryota; Metazoa; Chordata; Mammalia; Carnivora; Felidae.
GCCUGGAUGGCUCAGUCGGUUGAGCAUCUGACUUCGGCUCAGAAUGUGGUCUCGUGCUUCAUGGGUUUGAGCCCUGCGUUAGGCU